CCUGCCCAGUGACACCAGUUUAACGGCCGCGGUAUUCUGACCGUGCAAAGGUAGCAUAAUCACUUGUUCUCCAAAUAAGGACUUGUAUGAAUGGCCACACGAGGGUUUUACUGUCUCUUACUUCCAAUCAGUGAAAUUGACCUUCCCGUGAAGAGGCGGGAAUAAAAAAAUAAGACGAGAAGACCCUAUGGAGCUUUAAUUAACUAUUCCAAAAAACAAUUCAACCACAAGGGAAAAAUAACUUAACAUGGACUAGCAAUUUCGGUUGGGGUGACCUCGGAGUACAAAAAACCCUCCGAGUGAUUUUAAUCUAGACAAACCAGUCAAAUAACCAUAACAUCACUUAUUGAUCCAAAACUUGAUCAACGGAACAAGUUACCCUAGGGAUAACAGCGCAAUCCUAUUCUAGAGUUCCUAUCGACAAUAGGGUUUACGACCUCGAUGUUGGAUCAGGACACCCAAAUGGUGCAACCGCUAUUAAAGGUU
This 486-nucleotide ribosomal RNA is filed under the name Sus scrofa cristatus. RNAcentral's name for it is "partial 16S ribosomal RNA". It matches the Rfam family "Bacterial large subunit ribosomal RNA", at positions 1858 to 2573 of the family's 2925-position model. Lineage: Eukaryota; Metazoa; Chordata; Mammalia; Artiodactyla; Suidae. The record is from RNAcentral.